UACGUAGGGGGCAAGCGUUGUCCGGAUUUAUUGGGCGUAAAGAGCGUGUAGGCGGCCAGACAGGUCAGCUGUGAAAACUCGAGGCUCAACCUCGAGACGUCGGUUGAAACCGUCUGGCUAGAGUCCGGAAGAGGAGAGUGGAAUUCCAUGUGUAGCGGUGAAAUGCGUAGAGAUAUGGAGGAACACCAGUGGCGAAGGCGACUUUGUGGUCUGUAACUGACACUGAGGCGCGAAAGCGUGGGGAGCAAACAGG
RNAcentral lists this ribosomal RNA (253 nucleotides) under uncultured bacterium. Its description in RNAcentral is "partial 16S ribosomal RNA". It matches the Rfam family "Bacterial small subunit ribosomal RNA", at positions 524 to 776 of the family's 1533-position model. The record is from RNAcentral.